UACGGAGGGGGCGAGCGUUAUUCGGAAUUAUUGGGCGUAAAGGGCGCGUAGGCGGCUUGCUGUGUCAAAGGUGAAAUCCCUCGGCUCAACUGAGGAACUGCCUUUGAAACUGUCUGGCUUGAGGCCGGGAGAGGGUAGCGGAAUUCCCAGUGUAGCGGUGAAAUGCGUAGAUACUGGGAGGAACACCGGUGGCGAAGGCGGCUACCUGGACCGGAACUGACGCUGAGGCGCGAAAGCGUGGGUAGCAAACAGG
Molecule: ribosomal RNA, 253 nt
Filed under: uncultured bacterium
Lineage: Bacteria
Description: partial 16S ribosomal RNA
Rfam family: Bacterial small subunit ribosomal RNA
Source: RNAcentral